RNAcentral lists this small RNA (551 nucleotides) under Pongo abelii (Sumatran orangutan). RNAcentral describes it as "processed transcript". Lineage: Eukaryota; Metazoa; Chordata; Mammalia; Primates; Hominidae. The record is from RNAcentral.
ACAUGGCCAAUGCAGUGUUUUUGUUAAGUAGCCUUCAGGAAUGUUUCCUCUUUUCUGUGGGGUUACCUUUGGGUUAUCUUCUCUAUUAAGUGUGGAUCCCUGAAAAAUGGCAUACCCUGGUGGUUUUUCUAGACCCUGCUGAAAUCCUUUGAAGGAACGUACUUAUUUGUCAAGAUUCGUCUAAAAAUGUGGUCUCCAGAAAUGAACAUAGAUGUGCUGUGAGCUCCUUGCAGUUGUGAUUGCGGCACUGAUAAUUAAGAUUGGUUUAGUUGUUCUGUCGUACUUCAUCAAAUUGUUGAUUCACAUUGAAUUUAUCAAACGUCAUUCUAUUCUAAAAUUUUAAAGUAUUUUUAACUUAAAUGUAGGAAUUCACAUGUAUCCAGGACAAAUAAAUUUUUGUGAAACAUUGCAGGUGUUAGAUGGAUUUGGGAGAAUUUUCCAAACUAAGUGGAGGAACUUAUAUAGCUACAUAAAUAAUUUUACCAAAUGUUGCAAGAACUCUGGAGUUCUUAUGGUAGUAAAAUGCCGGAAAGAAAAUUCUGCAUUGAAAG